CACUUGAGUAGAUCUCUAUAAACGCUGUCAUGCUACCUUUGUCUAUUUACUAGCAAGUGUUGGUUUGGAAGUACUCGCCAUACUUCCAUUGACAUUUAAAUUAAGCAUGGUGCUUAGGUUAAAUAGCCUUCCUUAAUCUGAUUAUACAUGGAGUCUAGUUUGGUUAUUGAACUAAAAAAAACUGCUUGAGUAGAUAUUGGUAUAUUUUGUCGGACUAACCCCUGCAGAAAAACUUUUAAUAUCGAUUUGGGAAGUCCUGAGAUAAACUCACAUCAGAGACGAAGAGAGUGACACAUGAAGUUUAACAAUUUGCACAAGAAGGACAUAGCUCAUUCAUCAUAGAGAGAUGAUCCAUGGAGGGUGCCAUAAACACGACGCACAACCGCUAAGAAAGGAAAGCUUCCACAAGAUGAUACUGUACCAUCACUCUUCGAGCAAGGUAAUAUCUUAAGGUACUUGACUAUCACUUUUAUAAGCUUCUCCUUGGUUCGGGCGUUCAUAUAAAUAAAAGAGACAAACGUGUAUGAUUUACAACUCUAGAUUAACCAACCCAACUGAUUCAACAUGUUUAGUCCUUUAAUCCUUGUUCUUAGUACUACCUCCAUGAUCCCACACUCCUAAUUAUAUGAGCUAAAAUGUUACACAUUCAAUCAUUGAGAGAUAUAAAGAAAAAAGACAUAUACAUAGAUAGAUUAUCUUUCCAUAAGGUUGAGCGAUCUGAUCUGACAAAUGUUAUAAGUGCUACACUCAUGAACUUAUCGUCCAUCAACUUUGUCUUGCUCACUAUGCUUAAGGUUAGAGAAGAACAAAUACACUUUCGGUUCUGUUGGUGUUUUCCACCAACAAGGCCCAUGCACUUGAUCUCUGCCUUGUCUCUAUGAGCAGGUACACUACGAGCACAAACACACUGAGCAAGAUACUGCUAACACCGCACUUCGAACUGCUGGGCAAACGAAGAACGUGGGUGACACCGUAUUAAAAGGUGCAGACGUCAAGGUCCGCACCUGAAUCAAAUGACGCACCUGAAGAAUGAACACGGUGAAAAGUCUUGUCAAGAAGACUUAAAACAUUGAACCCUCGCCGAAAGGUAAGAUUGGUAGUUAUCCAUAUUUAUCCUUUCUGCAUUCCCUUUUCCCUUUAAUUAUUUACUUUCCUUAAAUAGAUUAUUAGUUAAUCAGGCUAUCUUGAAAAGAAAAUAAAAAUGUUAAAAAAUACUAAGCCCCAUGUGAGUAUACGAGUGGCAUAAAACCCAUAAGUACCUCCACUGUGGUGGCAUAAAAAUAAAAUAAAUAUUUCUUUUCUACUUUAUAAAAUAAAAAUAUAAAAACAGGGAGUAAUAUUUAUUGAGGAAGCUCAACGUGAUGAAGGCUAGAUAUUUAUGCUAACACUUAAUUAGUUCCACAAGCUUUGUUAUCUAUUUGAGCUCCACAGAAUUUAAGAAUCAAGAAGACUAGCAGACGGAGGACAUUCUAAUCGCUGUCAGAAUGCUGCUGACUUUCAAAUACACCUCUGCCACCUGCUAGCUACAUCAAGAGAAAUUACGUCAAAAUUCAGCUUGGGGGAGAGCACCCCCAUUUAUCUCGCUAAGUAUUUCUACCUAUCUUUAUACUUAUAUUAUAUUAGAAUAUUAAAAUACAUAAACUAUGAAAAACCAAAUAAAGAUUAUGUGCUUAUAUAUAUAUCUUUUGCUUAGUGUGUUUAAUAAAUAAAUAAAGUGGCUAUGCUAAUCUGAAUCUUAAUAAUAAAACUCUAGCAUGGAUAUGAUGAAUAGUUGCUCCGCCUAAUUUGCAAAUUUGAAGUUCUCUCUCAAGUUUAGACAUAACUGUUAUAAUUUAAAGCUUGCUCUAGAUCUAAACUUGUGGGAUGAAAACUUGAUCUGAAAUCUAAGUUGUUAACGGAUAUGAUAUGGGAAGGUUGAGCUGUUGUUUAUCUCUUCCUAGAGAUGCUAGAAUUCUGGAGAAUUUUAUCUUUGAAAAAUAUUUAAAAUAUUGCAUGAUGAGUUCCUGUAUGAUGAAAGUUUAAAUUCCUACCACAGCCAUAUAUACAUGCUUGCUAGAUUUUGAGCCACACAUUUAAUAUUUACUACUUAUGAGCAUUGAGUGUGGUCAAGCUGUGUAGACCCUUAGGAGCUUGUCAUGUGGUUAAAUCAAGAUUCACUUGCACGUUCACUCAUAUAUGCUACUUCUACUCCAGAAGUACCAUCCACAUAUAUCCAUCCAUUUCCAUCUCCAGAAUCACCUAAAAAUAUUCUACUCCUAAUUCGGGAGAGAAUAGCCAAAAACAUCUGUGUUUUUCCCUUGUGAAAUAAAUGCUCAAGUUAUCUUGCUACUACCACUUGCUAUAUUAUCUCAAGAGAUGAGUGCUCUGAAAAAAAAGAAAAAAAGAGAAGAAAAAAAAAAAAGAAAAAAACGAGGAAAUAAAAAGGGGCAAGUGCCCGGAACCUCGAAAGAAAAGAAAAAGAGUGAGACGAGAGGUAAAAAUGGACAAGUGUCCCACAGUAGAAUUAGGGGUACAGGAUACCCAUCUGAGAGAAAAGAAAAAGAAGAGCAUCUCAUUCUCCUCAUAAAGUUUCAAAAAAGCAAGGAAGGUAUGUAUCCCCUCAUAAGAGCAAAAGUAGAAUUAGACUUUCACCAUUGUUAUCACCAUCAUCACUAUACGCCAUUCAUUCGCCACACAUGCACAUCUUGAUUUGGCUUAUUGAUUUGUUUCUUUGGAUCCAUGGUUUGACUAUACAAUAAAUGUCUUGUAAGUAUGUAUACUUUAUCUCCCACCUAUGAGCUCCAGAUAUUAAAGCCUUAUUAGAGUAGGGUGAGAGAGAAGGCAAUGUCACUAUGCUUUAUACCACAAAUACCACAUAUUUUGAGAGAAGGCAUAUACCAUCACUGCCUUGGUAAGGAUCCAGAAAUACCACAAAAGAGAGAUAUGAGAGAGUCAUACAAAGGAAUCUCUGAGUUUUAUUUGAAAAUCUGCAAAAACUCCAGAGCUAUAGCUGAUCAAGAAUAAGAGACAUGGCACUUGACUGGACUGUUCUAUCUUUUAACCACUCAAGACAGAAGUGACGGUUACAAGUCCCAUUGUGAAAGGUAAAGUAAGUAAGUUUUAGUUCUUGAUAGUUUACUCUAACUCAGAGAUGAGAACUUAUUUAAAAGCAUGUGUACCGUCAAUUUUUAAAGAUAUUGCAACAACUUAUGAUCCAUAGCUGAGUCUAUCCUUGCUCAGGGACGAGCAAGAGGUAAGCUUGGGGGAGUUUGUUGACGGUCCUUAAGUAUCAAAUUUAAUUAUCAAAUAAACAAAGAAAAGGGUCCAAAUGAAAUCAACAUCUAGACUUAGGGUUUUAUCUGAUAGAAUUCCACGAGUUUUGGUGUUUGUCUAUUUCUGCAGGGGGUUAUCAAGAAAUACGGAAGAAAGGCCCACACGUCAGGAUUACAUAGAGAUAUUAACGUGCCGCGCAAUUAUCUUACAUCUAGAAGACUCCAGAAGCCACGGGAAGGAAGCGGAGACCGAACGGAGUCAGGGACAGGGCGCCCGCCCAAGUCCUUAGGGCGCCCGCCCAAGUCCUUAGGGCGCCCGCCCACCUAUUUCGGCCAAUCACGCUCAAUCUCGCGGAUUAUGCUCCACCGACCUAAAGGAUCAAGAAUAAACGUUCAAUCAAUGUCGGUUUGAUCCGACGGCCCAGGUUCACUUGAGGGGACUAUAAAACCAGACCCCCUGGCCCCUAGAGAAGGCACCCCUUAAUCAUUAUUCAUUAUUCAUAGACAGAGCAAAAGCUAGGGUUUAGAGAUGAGAGCUCUCCUCUCUUCUCUAAACUAGAGUAGAUCUAGAUAGUAGCGAGAUGGAGAGCGAAGGAGGAUUAGAGGAGAGGCCGGCCUGUCGGUUCUUCCUCCGGUUGUACUUCGCCAUGAUCAAGCUCUAAUUAAGCUUGCUCAUGGGAUGACUCUGGUAAUCUACUUCUAAUUCAUUAUGCAAUUACUAAUCAUGUAUGUUCUGGUUCACAACUCUUUUGAGUACAUCUAAUCUAUAGGACCCUAUAGGUUAGAGUUGUAGUAUAGGUGUAAGCGUGGUGCUUAGACCUAGAUUACUUGUGGAUAUCCCCUGACUAGCUGGAUCGUGUGGUAGGCCGCGUAGGUGACAGUUACGUUGGUCCCCUGUAGUCCACCUCUCGUUAGCAGGACGGGUAGGGUUUAUCGGCCUAUGGAUAAGCAUCCUUUGUGGUGUACUCUUAUCACGUGGUUCGUCCCAGACAUAGACACACCCCUUUGAAGUAGAGAAACCAUAGUUAUCCUCUCUAUUCUGCUACCAUCGCCCAUAUACUAGAAUUGCUCUACUCUCUAUUCCCAUAUUAUCACUCACUGUUAUCUUACCUUUAAUAUUGUUCUUAUUCGAUUCUACCAUCUUUCCUAUUCACACCUAUUUACUUAUCUUGGUUAAGUUAGAGCGUAGAUUAGUUCUCCCGUUUCCCUGUGGAUACGAUAAAACCUUUAACCGGGUAAAAGCUUCAACGGUAUCCGUGCGCUUGCGGAUUAUCUGUGUGCGUAUAAAUACCAUAGUACACUCUAAUGCCACGCUGGGGAUGACAACCUAGUAUUCAAGUGGUGUUAGCAAGUGUCAACAGUCGGCAAGGUUUUACUACCGAUGGUCAACUCUACACAUAUUGCCCCCUUAACCGGAGACACAUUCCCUUCAAAGUCUUUAAGCAUCAUAUCGGUCUUGGUUAGAUCCUGAUCUCCCUUUCCAAGCUUCCGAUAUACUGCAUACGGCAUGAUAUUGAUAGCAGCCCCACUAUCAAUUAGAAUCUUGGUCAUCGGCUGCCCAUCAACCCUUCCUUUGACAAACAGAGCUUUGAGAUGUUGCCUUUCAUCAUCGGCAGGCUUCUCGAAGAUAGCUGUCAUUGGAUCCAAAGAAAAUUGAGCUAUUUGAUCAGAGAACUCCAUCUCAUCAUCACUGGAUGGUGCAAGAAACUCCAUUGGCAACAUAAAGACCAUGUUGACGUCUGCCGAUGGGCCUUCCUCCUUAGGAUCUGAUUGUUGCUGAUCCCCAGGCUGUCCAGAGCUCUUGCUCAACCCUUCUCGCCUUUCGCGCUGCAGUCUUCUCUUCUGAGUCCUGGUUAACCCCUCCGAACACCAUGGAGGAAGUUGCUGCUGCCUCACCGAUGGGCGGCGAUUUUCCCCUGACUCCAUCCGAUAAGUGUUGGCAUCCCUGCAGAAGAUGAACUCAUCGGGAACCCGUGCAUUGGCCAUCUCUUCGAACUCUUCCUAGUUCCUGGGAAAAUAUUGGACACUGUUGACGGUCCUUAAGUACUAAAAUUAAUAAUCAAAUAAACAUGAAAAAGGAUCAAUAUGAAACAAACAUCUAGAAUUAGGGUUUUAUCUGACAGAAUUCCAUGAGCUUUGGUGUUUAUCUAUUUCUGUACGGGGUUAUCAGAGAAUAUGGAGAGAAGGCCCACAUGUCAUGUUUACAAUGAGAUAAUUACGUGCCGCGCAAUUUUCCUCAAUCUAGAAGAGUCCAGAAGCCACGGGAACGAACGAGAGCACGAUCGGGCUCGGGGGCAGGGCGGCCGCCCACCCCCUUGGGCGCCCGCCCAGGGUUGGAGUUGGAUCAGGACUCUGCUUCGGGACUACGCUCCACCGACCUAAAGGAUACCUUUAUCAUUAUCUUUAUGGUUUACCCCCUGCUAAAGUAAGUGACUGUGUGACGAGUUUCUCAUUAGUAAUCAUGUUCUUGCAGGUUUAUCUCUAGUCUAUGCCUUGAUAGAUUUUGCCCCUUGAUUUAAUUUCAUCUUCUUUAGAUCCCUUGAGCAAAAUUAUAAAUAACGAUACCUGGAAUACUUAUCCUGGUGAAAUGCUACAAUGAGGUGUUUUAUCUGUGCGCUUGCGGAUAGAAUAGAUUAUUUUCUAGAGAGCCCUUUACAUUUAUAAAUACCUUUGUACACUCUGGCACCAUGCUGGGGAUGACAACCUAGUAUCUAAGUGGUGUUAGCUAGUGUCAACAAGCAUUUCUGGCGCCGUUGCCGGGGAUUUAUACGAGUCUCAGGAAUAAGUCAUAAAGGGGAACAAAAGGGUAAUACUUAGGAAAGCCAGAAAUUCAGUCAAGGUUAUUCAUAUAAAAUAUUAGACUAGACUAUAGAGAAAUAAUUGCAUAAAAACAGCUACUAAGUGAGAAAUCAUAACAAGGCACCUCUGCAUUGGCAGGUUCACCCUGUUGUUUUUCUAUGUUUAUAUUUUUAUAUAGGGUAUAACAGGAUUGACUUUGGGUACAUUCAACUCUUCAUCAUGAGAACCAAAGCAAUCAAGAGAAGAAGAAGCUAGCUACCAAUUGCUGAAGCUAUGGCACAAAAGACCUUGCAAGAAUUCUCUGCUCCAAGCCUUGAGAACAUUCCAACUGGUCCAAGAUUUGCAGUAGAAGAAGGAAUACCCGAGUUUGAGCUCAAGUCAAGCCUCACCAAUUUGGUGCAAGCUACACAAUUCAGUGGAAAGGCACAUGAAGAUGCUAGUGCACACUUGCAGAAUUUCUUAGAGAUUGGAAGCACAAUCCACAUCAACGGAGUUGACAAAGACGUCAUACUGCUUUGCCUUUUUCCAUUCUCACUAGAAGGGAAAGCGAGGAAGUGGUUCUACACUCAUCAAGAUAACAUCAACAACUGGACGAACUUGUUAGAUGCCUUUCUAUCAAAGUUUUUCUCUAUAGGCAAAACAACUGCCUUAAGAGGAAAUAUUGUCAGUUUCCAACAACAGAAGACCGAAGCCAUUUUAGAAGCAUGGGAGCGUUUUCAAGGAUACAUAUCAGAUUGUCCUCACCAUGGAAUGGCCACAUGGUUACUUAUGCAGACCUUCUACCAUGGAUUAACCCAGAAGGCUCGUGAGUGCCUAGAUGCAUCUGCUAAAGGAUCAUUCUUGGAGCUUACAACUGGAAAAGCAGAGAUACUUUUGGAUAAGAUAGCAGAAAACCAAAGCUGGUUCCAAGAUAAAGCUCAACACUGUCAUCAAACUGAAGAAAUACCAGAAGAAGUAAAUGCAUUAUCAACAAAGAUGGAAAAUUUGCUCCAUUGGAUUGACCAGAGGGCCAAGUUCAAAGAAGAUCAAAGGGCCAUUGAGACAGCAUACAAAUAUCAACCAACUUCAAGUCAACCCAAUAGCAAAGGUAUGAAUUCAGGUAAUACUUUCAAGCAACUUUCAUUAAAAGAGAUAAUUGCUCAACAAACCAAAAUUAAUGACGAAGUUAAACAAAGGCUAGAUACAAAUCAAUCAUCUCUAAAAGAUAUACACAAUAAAAUGGAUUUUCUACUAACUGCCUUUGAUGAGCAAAACACUCUUAAUAAAAGGGUAGAGCUUAAAUUAAUAAAGAUAGCUGCUGCACUGCCUGUUGCUACUAACCUUGAGCAGGUAAAGAAUAUAACUACUAGAGGAGGCAAAGCUACCAGAGAUCCCCCAUACCCAAAAGAGAAACAAAGAACAUCAGCACCAGUACAACCAGCAGUGAUAGAAGAAGAAAGCCCAGUUGAAGCAGAAGAUCUGCUACAACCACCAAGAACUGGAGAAAUGAGGAAAGAUUUCUACGACACCAACUAUUUGCCAUUUCCUAGGAGAAACAGAGGACUGCAGUCAGAUGAGCAGUUUGGUAAGUUUGUAGAGGUCAUUCAGAAAUUAUAUGUCAACAUACCUCUGCUCGAUGCCAUACAGGUACCUACAUAUGCAAAGUACAUCAGAGAUAUUCUUAACAAGAAGAGACCACUGCCCACCACUGAGGUUAUCAAGCUGACAGAAGAAUGUAGUGCGGCCAUCCUUAACAAACCACCAAAGAAGAAGGAAGAUCCCGGAUGUCCCACUAUUGAUUGCUCGAUCGGAAACCAACACUUCAACAAUGCACUUUGUGAUCUCGGAGCAAGUGUCAGUGUGAUGCCAGCAUCAGUCUACAAAAAGCUUGAUCAUGCGACCCUAGAACCAACAUCAAUGUGCCUGCAACUAGCGGAUCAAUCGGUUCGACACCCGUUGGGCAUCGCCGAGAACAUUCCAGUCAAGAUCAGAGAUUUCCUGGUGCCAGUAAGACUUCGUAGUACUGGACAUGAGUCCUGACUCAAAAGUGUCCAUCAUCCUUGGAAGGCCAUUUCUAAGCACUGCCAAUGCCCACAUUGAUGUCGAAAAAGGAGAAAUCAAGUUCAACAUAAACGGUCAAGAAGAACACUUCACAUUCAAACCCAGACCAGAGAGAGACUCUACAGUGAAGGAAGUUCAUGAAGAACCACUGGAGACACCAUCUCCGGAGGAAGGUAACUCAGAAGAUUAAAAGAUUUGGAGGUCCAGCUUGGGGGACCUAAAAAUCUCAAACCCUCACCGGGAGGUAAAUUGGUAUUUAUCCGCAUUAUUAAUUUUCUCAUGUUUAAAUUCUUGCAUAAUUAAUUUUUGCAUUAGUCAUAUAUAUUCAUAACAUUAGUAUAAUAAUCAAAAGCCCCAUAUAAAUAAUAUUCAUGGUGUGUAACAACCCAUAUUUAUUAAUUAUUGUGGAGGCACAAAAAUAUUUUCCAUUAUCAUUUUAAUUUUCAAUUCUCAUAGAUUUUUCUUGCAUUAUAUUUAAUAGUAACCUUCUAGAAACAUGACCCACACUCCUUGGGUCCCACAUGUCAUACACCACACCUCACAUACAUCCCAUCACAUAAUUUCAUCCACCAAUAUGUUUCCACUCACCAGACAUCUUUCCACCAUCCAACAACCACCACACAACAUUAUUCUGCGUGAGAUCAAAGCAAGGAAGCAAGUGGAGGAGGCACACCCAGGAUGGACACCAGGAGUGGGCGCACGCCCACCUACCAAGGGCGCCCGCUCUGCUCCCUCUUCCUCCUAUAAAUAGCCACCUUCUACCUCCAUCCUCUCCACACAAGCACUCCAGAAAACCACACAAGUAUCAGUUUCCAGAAAGAGCUCUUGUAGUGAAGAGAGAAGAGAGUAGAGAGAAAGAGAAGAGUGGGAAAGAAGUUGAUAGAGAGUGAGUAUCACCUAGCAAGAAGUGAUCCCGCUGUCUAAGCAGAAGUAAAAGUUGUUUAGGGGAAGGCUCUACCAAAAUAGAAACUUGUCUUGAACGAUUAACCCCUGGACUACUGAUAUUGCGGACAGCUGACCACUAACAUUUUUUCUCACAAUUUUCCACUAGUGUGUUUUUGCUAACUUUUGUUUGCAGGAUGUUUAAGAAGGUGAAGAAUGCAGGAAAGGCUCUCAAGAACAUUGGUACAAGGAGUUCAGCCCGACACUCCUCACAGUCAUCAGAGAUGAGCGUCGACCCGACACCCACACAAGCUCCAUCAUCUUCAUCAGGUCAGCAAGUCAAGGUCCUUCUCAAGAUAGGAGACCUUGGACUGAAGACCCGAAGAGAGAAGGAAGUCUAUCAACUAUUGAGGAACAAAGAUUUCAUUCACACCCCUACUCUCGAUCCAAUCCUACUACAAGAAACAGGUAUGGACACUGAAUUCGACUUGAUUUUUCAGAUGAUGGGUUGGACAAAUUUUUGGAAUAUAACUGAGCUGGGUUCUCACCCUCGAAUUUCUUUGCACCUUACAAUACUAUGAAGGGGGAAUUAUUUUUUGGAUGUUCAAACAGGAAAUUAUGUUAUCUUGGAGAGAGCUGAGCGACCAUCUUGGUUUCUCUUCAAGAUGCAUCCUGAACAUUGACUCCGAUUUACCCAACUUUGAGAGACACCAGUUUUGGAGAGAAAUAUCUAGAGAUAAUUUUUAUAGUCAAGCCCGAACUAGUGAUAUGGAACACCCCACUCUUAGGAUGUUCCACAAAUGGCUUGGGUACAAUCUUUUCUAUCGUGACGAUAUUAGAAAAGUAAGAGUAGGAGAUUUACAACUUUUAUAUGCUGCUAUUAGUAAAGUACCUACUUCACCUGUUACACUAUUAGUUUCUCAUUGGCUUAGUAUACCUAGUCUUCAGGGACCAGUAGGAUGUACUUCACUUAUCACUCGUCUAUCACUAAUCUUCACUUACUAGAAAACUCAUCGUUAGACUUCAUAGAAGAAUUAAGAAUUUAUCAUGGCUAUGACACAUUUAGACAAGCUCAGAUGUUAAAGAAAGAGGGAAAUAUAAUGUAUAUGCUAUAUGAUGAUAAAGGCAAGAUUCGGUUACCUAACCCGAACCUUGGCCUCUACGCUGUGCAAAACUUUUUGAUUGAGAUUGCAGCAACACCAGUAAACCAGAGAACUCCACAGCGAGUGGCAUCAGAAAGGAUAACCACUCACCGAGAACGCACUUGGUAUGGAGCUAACCCUGGACCAGAAGAAGCAGCGCACCUGCAUUAUUGUGAUUACAACCCUCGAGUCCUUCGAGACCCAUGGGCUCGACAUGCGCAACCACAAGAGCCAACAGAGGAGACAUGGCCGGAGAGCCAAGAUCACCAGUGGACAAACCCGCCUUUUCAUACGGGCAGGUACUCCACUGAUCCAUAUGGAGCUUCAGGAUCCAGACCUCCGCCCCAAUUUGAUGCAGGAUGAUACUCAGACGCCUCCUACGCUUUCACGAAUGACUACUAUCAAGAGGCCGGUGCUUUCUUCACUCGUACCGACAACACCCUUCUCGACAUCCAGAAUACGCAAGCAGAACAUGGAAGACUCCUGGAAGAGCAACAAAAAUGGAACCAGGACCAUGCAGCUGCAGUGCAAGAGCUGAGACAAGAUACAACAACAAUGAACGACAACAUCACAACCAUGAUGCGGUUCUGGAACAUCGGGUAAGACCGACGUCAACAUCCAGCUUGGGGGAGUUCCUUCCCAAUUUAUCAAGUAAGUUUUUAUUUGCUCUUCUUAUUUAUUCUAUUCUUAGUAUUUAUUUUAUCUUAAAAGGAAAAAACUUAGAAAACCUAAUAAAUAUUUUCUUGCUUUAAUUUACUGCAUUUUAUAAACAUGAAAACAAAAUAAAAAGAGUGUGUAGAUAAGUGUGCUUUAUUUAUCUGCUAAGUCUUAAUCUCUAAAAAAAUAAUAAUAAAAGACCAAAAAGAUGCAUGAUGGAAAUAAUGAACAGUUGCUCUGUUUGCUUACUUUCAAGUACCUAGCUUCUAUAUUAGAGUUCUUCCAGGAAUUACUAAAACUAAAAUUACUAUCUUUGGGAAGAGAAAGGCAUGAUAUAAAGUUGAGCUGCUGUUUAUCUUGUUCCUACUACACUAAGUUCUGGAGAUUUAUUUUGAAAACUUACAAGUCACAUGAUGAGUUCCUAGCAUAACAAAACUACCUACCACAGCCAUACUUGCUAUAACAUCUUUUACUAUAUUUACAUUGAGUUUGAUCGAGCUGUGUAGACCCUUAGGAGCUUUUCAUGUGGUUAAAUUAAGAUAUUCACUUGCACACAUCUACUACACCAUUCAUCAUCAUUUAUUAAAAUUGCUAAAAAUAUUAUCACUCACUAUCCCGAAUAUUGUUAUUCUCUCUCUCUAAAAAGAUUCAAUGCAGAAGAGGCAUGGGUUAUGCAAAAAUAUGCGAGGAAAUAAAAAGGGGCAAGUGCCCGGAACCUCGAAAAAGAAAGAAAAAAAAAGUGAGACGAGAGGUAAAACUGGACAAGUGUCCGAAGUAGAAUUAGGGGUACAAAGAUGCUCCCUUGAGCGAAAAAAAUGGACAAGUGUCCGAAAGUAGAAUUAGGGGUAUCAACUACCCACCUGAAAAAAAAGAAGAGAGAAGAAGAAAAAGAGAUAGCCCAUGUUCUCCCAAAGCAAAGAUCAAAGAAGAGGAGAGAUAGCAAUAUGAGGAGCAAUGAGAACCAAGUUUUAUUAUUAUUUAUACAUUUUUAUCAUCAUUAUCAUUUACUUCAUCACACAUGCACAUCUUGAUUUAAUUAUAUGUUGAGUUCCUUUGGAUCCAUGGCUCGAUUAGACAACAUAUGUAUGAGCUAAUUUUCACUCCUAUGAGCUCCACUUAAAUAUUCCCUUAGCUAUAGGUAAGUGACAUUAUGGUAAGGAUCCACAAAUACCACAUAUAGAGAGACUUGAGAGAAUCAUUGCUGGGAACUCUGAGUUUUAUUUUGAAAACUUAUGAAAAAAUCUGGAACAAAGGUGAAGUAUAGACAGGAGGGAUAGUGCUUGGCUUAACUAUUUUGUCUUUCGAUUACUUAAGAUUUAAGUGCAAGUACUAAACUUUAUAAAACUUCAAUCUAACCUGGAAGAAUUUUAUGUAAAAGCAUGUGUGCC
This 12159-nucleotide long non-coding RNA is filed under the name Sorghum bicolor (sorghum). Its description in RNAcentral is "long non-coding RNA (SBIC_LNC016508)". Lineage: Eukaryota; Viridiplantae; Streptophyta; Magnoliopsida; Poales; Poaceae. The record is from RNAcentral.